CCAGCUCUGAUCCUGACUGAUCUUUCCUCACUAAAUCCUCUGGUUUUUAAUUAACUUCUCCUCUAACAGCGGUUUCUCAUCAGCUCUCUCAUUAGAUAACAGUAUGAAAACGUUAGCUGCUAUGCUAACAAUUAGCGGUUAUUUCGGGCCAAUUAAGCUACAUAGGAAAUAUUUUUCGGUUGUUUAUAAGCAAAUUUCUGGCUGCAAAGUCAAGUAAUUCUGAUCUUUCAUCCUUACCUGUGAAAGGCAAUGCCAAUGAAUCCAGUUUUUUUCGUAAAACGGUUGCAACAGGUCCACACAGCACAGGACUUAAGAGCUCCGAUCGCCCUGCUGCCACAUAGAAGAUGGCGGACGCUGUUACGUACGACUCAGCGCUCCAUGAGGGGUCUACGUAUAUGAUGUCUAUGAUGUAAAGGAAUAGCCUUUUUGUCCUCCAGCAAUGUAGGCAUGUGCGAAAUUUCCUUAUGUAAACAAUAACAUGCAGGGGGUCUAGAUUAUCGAUC
This is a long non-coding RNA of Poecilia latipinna (sailfin molly), 503 nucleotides long. RefSeq lists it as uncharacterized. The transcript has 3 exons. The record is from RefSeq and is a predicted model, not a curated record. NCBI's taxonomy places the organism in Eukaryota, Metazoa, Chordata, Actinopteri, Cyprinodontiformes, Poeciliidae.